RNAcentral lists this ribosomal RNA (677 nucleotides) under uncultured Vibrionaceae bacterium. Its description in RNAcentral is "bacterial SSU rRNA". It matches the Rfam family "Bacterial small subunit ribosomal RNA", at positions 1 to 671 of the family's 1533-position model. The record is from RNAcentral. Lineage: Bacteria; Pseudomonadati; Pseudomonadota; Gammaproteobacteria; Vibrionales; Vibrionaceae.
UAGAGUUUGAUCCUGGCUCAGAUUGAACGCUGGCGGCAGGCCUAACACAUGCAAGUCGAGCGGAAACAGGAAAGUAGCUUGCUACUUUCGCUGUCGAGCGGCGGACGGGUGAGUAAUGCCUAGAUAUCUGCCUAGUCGUGGGGGAUAACAGUUGGAAACGACUGCUAAUACCGCAUACGCCCUACGGGGGAAAGGAGGGGACCUUCGGGCCUUUCGCGGUUAGAUGAGUCUAGGUGGGAUUAGCUAGUAGGUGAGGUAAUGGCUCACCUAGGCGACGAUCCCUAGCUGGUCUGAGAGGAUGAUCAGCCACACUGGAACUGAGACACGGUCCAGACUCCUACGGGAGGCAGCAGUGGGGAAUAUUGCACAAUGGGCGAAAGCCUGAUGCAGCCAUGCCGCGUGUGUGAAGAAGGCCUUCGGGUUGUAAAGCACUUUCAGCGAGGAGGAAAGGUUGGUGGUUAAUAACCAUUAGCUGUGACGUUACUCGCAGAAGAAGCACCGGCUAACUUCGUGCCAGCAGCCGCGGUAAUACGAGGGGUGCAAGCGUUAAUCGGAAUUACUGGGCGUAAAGCGUACGCAGGCGGUUUGUUAAGCCAGAUGUGAAAGCCCUGGGCUCAACCUAGGAAUUGCAUUUGGAACUGACAGGCUAGAGUCCUGUAGAGGGGGGUAGAAUUUCA